GAUCAUGGCUCAGGAUGAACGCUAGCGACAGGCCUAACACAUGCAAGUCGAGGGGCACAUGGUAUCAGCUUGCUGAUACCGAUGGCGACCGGCGCACGGGUGAGUAACGCGUAUGUAAUCUACCUGUAACAGAGGGAUAACCCGGAGAAAUCCGGACUAAUACCUCAUAGCACAUAUUAUUCGCAUGAUUUUANGUUAAAGAGACUCGGUUACAGAUGAACAUGCG
This 226-nucleotide ribosomal RNA is filed under the name uncultured bacterium. RNAcentral's name for it is "partial 16S ribosomal RNA". It matches the Rfam family "Bacterial small subunit ribosomal RNA", at positions 15 to 235 of the family's 1533-position model. The record is from RNAcentral.